AACGAACGCUGGCGGCGCGCCUAACACAUGCAAGUCGAACGAGAAUCCGGGGCAACCCGGUAGUAAAGUGGCAAACGGGUGAGGAAUACAUGGGUAACCUACCCUUGAGAAGGGAAUAACCCGCCGAAAGGUGAGCUAAUACCCUAUACGCUAUCUUUUUUUCGAAAAGGAUAGGAAAGCCGGGUCGAGGACCUGGUACUCAAGGAGGGGCUCAUGUCCUAUCAGCUUGUUGGUGGGGUAACGGCCUACCAAGGCUACGACGGGUAGCUGGUCUGAGAGGAUGAUCAGCCACACUGGCACUGAGAUACGGGCCAGACUCCUACGGGAGGCAGCAGUGAGGAAUAUUGCGCAAUGGGCGAAAGCCUGACGCAGCGACGCCGCGUGGGGGAUGAAGGUUUUCGGAUUGUAAACCCCUUUCAUGAGGAAGAUAAAGUGGGUAACCACUUAGACGGUACCUCAAGAAGAAGCCACGGCUAACUUCGUGCCAGCAGCCGCAGUAAAGUCGUACG
RNAcentral lists this ribosomal RNA (509 nucleotides) under uncultured bacterium. RNAcentral's name for it is "bacterial SSU rRNA". It matches the Rfam family "Bacterial small subunit ribosomal RNA", at positions 29 to 531 of the family's 1533-position model. The record is from RNAcentral.